UAUCAUCAAGAAUACCAAUUGGUAUUUUCACAGUGCGAUCAGCCAAGUGUAGCAGCAUAGAAUUCGGUCUAGAUCGGCCGAUGCCCAAUUUAGUGUACACUGCCAGCGGCAUUAGAUUUAUGCUAGCUCCCAAGUCACAUAGCGCCUUUGCAAAGGCAUAGCUUCCAAUUGUGCUGGAAUAGUGAAGCUACCUAGAUUAGACAUUUUUUGUGCCAUCGAUUUUUCCACCACUGCACUACAGGUUUUUGUCAUAGUUACGGUGGAUAGAUCCUGAAAAUCAACUUCCUUGACAUUAGAUCUUUCAUCAUCUUGGCAUAACCGGGCAUCUCCCUCAAGGCAUCCAUCAGAGGAAUAUUCAACUGAAUUUGACGCAGCAUUUCCAUGAACUUUUUGUGUUGGUCUGCCUUCUUUUGUUUGACCAGUCUCUGAGGGAAGGAUGCAGGUAUCACCCUUUGUGCAUUGCUUACUGGGU
RNAcentral lists this long non-coding RNA (472 nucleotides) under Nicotiana benthamiana. Its description in RNAcentral is "long non-coding RNA (NBEN_LNC018636)". The record is from RNAcentral. Lineage: Eukaryota; Viridiplantae; Streptophyta; Magnoliopsida; Solanales; Solanaceae.